UACGGGGGGGGCAAGCGUUGUUCGGAAUUACUGGGCGUAAAGGGCUCGUAGGUGGCCAACUAAGUCAGACGUGAAAUCCCUCAGCUUAACUGGGGAACUGCGUCUGAUACUGGAUGGCUUGAGUUUGGGAGAGGGAUGCGGAAUUCCAGGUGUAGCGGUGAAAUGCGUAGAUAUCUGGAGGAACACCGGUGGCGAAGGCGACAUCCUGGACCGGUAUUGACGCUGAGGCGCGAAAGCCAGGGGAGCAAACGGG
Molecule: ribosomal RNA, 253 nt
Filed under: uncultured bacterium
Lineage: Bacteria
Description: partial 16S ribosomal RNA
Rfam family: Bacterial small subunit ribosomal RNA
Source: RNAcentral